Erinaceus europaeus (western European hedgehog) is the source of this 311-nucleotide unclassified non-coding RNA. Its record names the gene 7SK. It matches the Rfam family "7SK RNA". Rfam says of the family: 7SK was discovered as an abundant small nuclear RNA in the mid-70s but a possible function has only recently been suggested. Two independent studies have found that 7SK RNA binds the CDK9/cyclin T complex (known as elongation factor P-TEFb). The record is from Ensembl. Lineage: Eukaryota; Metazoa; Chordata; Mammalia; Eulipotyphla; Erinaceidae.
GGAUGUGAGGGCCAUCUGGCUGCGACAUCUGUUACCCCAUUGAUCGCUGGGGUUGAUUCGGCUGAUCUGGCUGGCUUGGCAGGUGUCCCCUUCCUCCCUCACGGCUCCAUGUGCAUCCCUCCCGAAGCUGCUGCACCCCCUAUGGAACAGGAUGGCCCUCCCGGAAUAGAGACUGAGUAGUCUUCAGUCGAGGGUAUAAGAGUAGCUGCGCUCCCCUGCUAAAACCUCCAAACAAGCUCUCAAAGUGAUAGCCAGCUUAUCUCUAAUUAGGAAAAUAAGAAUAAAGGUGCAUAUAACACAUGACCCAAUUU